RNAcentral lists this ribosomal RNA (1477 nucleotides) under uncultured bacterium. RNAcentral's name for it is "partial 16S ribosomal RNA". It matches the Rfam family "Bacterial small subunit ribosomal RNA". The record is from RNAcentral.
CCCGGUGGUUUUUAACCCAGAAAUUUCCCCCCUUCCCAGCCCUUUUGGGGUGUGGGGGAAAAUUCCCGGGGGUGAGGAGGAAGGUCCCGGGGCCUUUAUCACUUUUUUUGGGGGGGUUAUGGCCUUCCCCAAGGGGAAAAAACGGGUUACCCCGCCUUUGAAAGAGUGACCCGGCCCCCACUUGGGACUUGGAACCCGGGCCCCAGAUUCCUUACGAGAGGCAACCAGUGGGGAAUUUUGGGCAAUGGGCGGAAACCCUGAUUCCAGCAACGCCGGCCGGAGAGGAUGACGGCCCUCCGGGGUUGUAAACCUUUUUCAAGCAGGGACGAAGCGCCAAGUGACGGUACCUGCAGAAGAAGCCCCGGCCCAACUACGUGCCAGCAGCCGCGGUAAUACGUAGGGUGCGAGCGUUGUCCGGAAUUAUUGGGCGUAAAGGGCUCGUAGGCGGUUAGUCACGUCGGGAGUGAAACUCGGGGCUUAACCCCGAGCCUGCUUCCGAUACGGGCUGACUAGAGGUAUGCAGGGGAGAACGGAAUUCCUGGUGUAGCGGUGAAAUGCGCAGAUAUCAGGAGGAACACCGGUGGCGGAGGCGGUUCUCUGGGCAUUACCUGACGCUGAGGAGCGAAAGUGUGGGGAGCGAACAGGAUUAGAUACCCUGGUAGUCCACACCGUAAACGUUGGGCGCUAGGUGUGGGACUCAUUCCACGAGUUCCGUGCCGCAGCUAACGCAUUAAGCGCCCCGCCUGGGGAGUACGGCCGCAAGGCUAAAACCCAAAGGAAUUGACGGGGGCCCGCACAAGCGGCGGAGCAUGCGGAUUAAUUCGAUGCAACGCGAAGAACCUUACCUGGGUUUGACAUAUGGAGAAAUCCCCUAGAGAUAGGGGGUCCGCAAGGGCUCCAUACAGGUGGUGCAUGGCUGUCGUCAGCUCGUGUCGUGAGAUGUUGGGUUAAGUCCCGCAACGAGCGCAACCCUCGUCUUAUGUUGCCAGCACGUCAUGGUGGGGACUCAUAAGAGACUGCCGGGGUCAACUCGGAGGAAGGUGGGGAUGACGUCAAGUCAUCAUGCCCCUUAUGUCCAGGGCUUCACGCAUGCUACAAUGGCCGGUACAAAGGGCUGCGAAACCGUAAGGUGGAGCGAAUCCCAAAAAGCCGGUCUCAGUUCGGAUUGGGGUCUGCAACUCGACCCCAUGAAGUCGGAGUCGCUAGUAAUCGCAGAUCAGCAACGCUGCGGUGAAUACGUUCCCGGGCCUUGUACACACCGCCCGUCACGUCACGAAAGUCGGCAACACCCGAAGCCGGUGGCCUAACCCCUUGUGGGAGGGAGCCGUCGAAGGUGGGGCUGGCGAUUGGGACGAAGUCGUAACAAGGUAGCCGUCAGGAAACAGCUAUGACCACGACUAGGCCACGCUGGCCUGCCGACAUGUCGACUCAUAGAGGAUCCCCAGUGAGUCGAGCUACGAUUGCAGCUGACUGUUCC